Molecule: unclassified non-coding RNA, 253 nt
Filed under: uncultured Pirellulaceae bacterium
Lineage: Bacteria; Pseudomonadati; Planctomycetota; Planctomycetia; Pirellulales; Pirellulaceae
Description: contains 16S-23S intergenic spacer region
Rfam family: Bacterial small subunit ribosomal RNA
Source: RNAcentral
GACGAACCACACAAACGUUAUUCGGAAUUACUGGGCUUAAAGGGUGCGUAGGCUGUGCGGAAAGUUGGGUGUGAAAUCCCCUGGCUCAACCAGGGAAUUGCGCUCAAAACUACCGUGCUGGAGGAAGACAGAGGUGAGCGGAACUUCGGGUGGAGCGGUGAAAUGCGUUGAUAUCCGAAGGAACACCGGUGGCGAAAGCGGCUCACUGGGUCUUUUCUGACGCUGAUGCACGAAAGCUAGGGGAGCAAACGGG